AUGGCUGCACGGCUCUUUCUGGCCCUUCUUUUAUCAUUCUCCUUCCAGCUUUGCUCUUGUGCUCCCCCAUGGCAGAUCAUGACCACUGGCUCAUACAUGACUCCAGAAGAUCAUGAGAGAAUCUUUCUCAUCUCACCAGAUACCACCUUCUCUUGCGGCUUCCAUCGAGUUGGAACAAAUGCUUUCACCUUCUCCAUCUGGUACACCGCCGUGAAAACGGUUGUCUGGACGGCAAAUCCCUACUCCAUGGUGAAUGGCUACUAUUCCCCAGUGAACAUUUACGGCUCCAGGAUAUCUCUGAAACACAAUGGAAACCUGGUCCUGACAGAUAACAAUGGCUCAAUGGUAUGGGAAAGCAAGACAUCUUCAGGCAAGCACACAAUUGUUUCCCUCCUCAACACUGGCAACCUUGUUAUCAGUGAUUCUGGUAAUAAUACUGUAUGGCAGAGCUUUCACUCACCAACAGACACCUUGCUCCCUUGGCAAAACUUGACGAAAGACACAAGGUUAGUCUCUGGUUACCAUCACCUCUAUUUUGACAACGACAAUGUCUUGCGCCUAUUAUAUGAUGGCCCAGAGAUUACAAGCAUCUACUGGCCAAGUCCAGAUUACAAUGCACUGAAAAAUGGACGCAAUAGAUAUAACAGCACCAGGGUAGCAUUUCUUGAUGACAAGGGUAAUUUUGUGUCAAGUGAUGGGUUUAAAAUAGAGGCUUCAGAUUCAGGUGCUGGGAUCAAGAGGAGGAUCACAAUUGAUCACGAUGGCAAUUUCAGAAUGUACAGCUUGGAUGUGUCAACAGGGAAUUGGGUGGUCACAGGGCAGGCAGUAAUACAGAUGUGCUAUGUGCAUGGAUUAUGUGGUAAGAAUGGGCUUUGUGACUACUCAGGGGGCCUUAAAUGUAGAUGCCCUCCAGAACAUGUGAUGGUUGAUCCAACAGAUUGGAACAGGGGAUGCAAACCAGCAUUCACAAUUGGCAGCAAUCAACCACAUGAGGAUUUCACAUUUGUUAAGCAACCUCGUGCAGACUUCUAUGGCUUUGAUCUGAGCUCUAAUCAAUCCAUCUCAUUUAAAGCAUGUAGGGACAUUUGCCUGAACAGCAGCUCAUGUAUAUCUUUCACAUACAAGGGUGGGGAUGGUUGGUGUUACACUAAAGACAUACUCUACAACGGUCAGGUGUACCCAUAUUUCCCAGGAGACAACUACAUGAAAGUACCAAAGAGUUUCAACGGUUCAGCAUCCUCAAUCUCCAAACAAGAAAGCCUAACCUGCAGACCCAAUGGUUCGGAGAUUAUGCUAGGAUCAGCAAAUAUGUAUGGAAUGAAGAAGGACAGCAUAAAGUGGAUAUACUUAUAUGUCUUUAUUGCAAUAUUGGGAGCUCUAGAGUUGUUUGUCAUUGUGACAGGAUGGUGCCUUUUUUUCAGACAGAGUAGCAUGCCCAAAUCAAUGGAGGAUGGAUACAAGAUGAUAAGAAACCAGUUCAGGCGGUUUACAUACAGAGAAUUGAGUGAAGCAACUGACAAAUUCAAAGAAGAGAUUGGGAGAGGGGGUGCUGGAAUUGUUUAUAGAGGAGUACUUGAAGAUAAGAAAAUAGUGGCAGUAAAGAAACUCACAAAUGUUCAACAUGGAGAAGAGGAAUUCUGGGCGGAAGUGACUCUAAUUGGAAGGAUCAAUCACAUAAAUUUGGUCAGGAUGAUGGGAUUUUGCUCUGAAGGGGAAAGCAGGUUAUUGGUAUAUGAGUAUGUGGAGAAUGAGUCACUGGACAAGUACCUCUUUGGUGAGAGAAGUACUGAAAGUCUGCUCGGUUGGAGCCAAAGGUACAAGAUCGCCUUGGGCACAGCAAGGGGUCUUGCUUAUCUUCAUCAUGAAUGCCUUGAAUGGAUUGUCCAUUGUGAUGUGAAGCCAGAAAACAUACUCCUAAGUCGAGAUUUCAAUGCCAAAAUAGCGGACUUCGGACUAGCCAAGCUUGCAAAGCGAGAUAGCGCUAACUUCAAUUUCACCCAAAUGAGAGGCACGAUGGGCUACAUGGCACCAGAAUGGGCACUGAAUAUGCCGAUCAAUGCGAAGGUCGAUGUUUACAGCUAUGGAGUUGUGCUUCUGGAAAUUGUGACUGGAACUAGGGUUUCAAGUGGCAUAAUUGCCAACGAAAGACAAAUGGGGUUUCCAGACUUUAUCCAGGAGGCCAAACAGAUUCUGGCUACCGAGAAUAUUAAUGAUCUAGUGGAUGCAAAAUUGAAGGGGCAUUUCGAUCUAGAGCAGGCUACUGCAAUGGUGAGAAUAGCUGUUUCAUGCCUUGGAGACAGAAGCAAGAGGCCGACAAUGGACGAAGUUCUGAAGUCUCUUAUGUCAUAUGAUGAUGAAGACUACCAUCCUGCCUAUUCAUAUUGA
This 2385-nucleotide ribosomal RNA is filed under the name Triticum aestivum (bread wheat). Its description in RNAcentral is "partial small subunit ribosomal RNA". Lineage: Eukaryota; Viridiplantae; Streptophyta; Magnoliopsida; Poales; Poaceae. The record is from RNAcentral.